UGCCUGUCGAAAUUAUACAUCACAUCUCUCCAUUGUCUUUGUACAAAUGUGUGUGUAAGUAUAUGCACACACAGCCAUGGAUAAAUGAAGGUUUAAAAUUACACACAGAUGAAAGCAUUUUCAGAACAUUUCUUAUGACCAUCUAAAAACCAAAAUGUUGGACAUUGUUUGCAUGUUGAGAUGAACACCUCAGCUAACAAUUGACCUUGUUUUCAAUUGAGGGCACCAAGAUGCCACAUUAUUAAGCAUAUUGGGUCAACCCUGAGUUCAUGGUUAACAUCAUUUUUCUUUCUAUGGAGAUGAAAAGGUCUUCAGCCAGAUUGUUUUCUUUUGGUUCCACCCUGGGUGCUGGGUGGCAUGAUUUUUGCAUGACUAUGGCUCUGCUCUAUAAAUAAGCAGAUUCAGUCUUUUGUUUCAAAUGUAAUCAGCAAGAUUGCAUUUGCAUUGCUUGUAAGUGAAUCACAUAAGUGAAAUUACAUUGCCUGCAUCUCAUUUGGUAUCAUAAAAUGUUAUGGGAUGCAGGCUGUUUUUCUCCAGCUA
Molecule: long non-coding RNA, 540 nt
Filed under: Bos taurus (domestic cattle)
Lineage: Eukaryota; Metazoa; Chordata; Mammalia; Artiodactyla; Bovidae
Description: long non-coding RNA NONBTAT007268
Source: RNAcentral